UAUUAUACCGUUACACUGGGCCACAUACUGGGCUUUCUCUUCCUGUCCUACUUGAAUCUCUCUCUAUAUAUCCUUCCACGUCCAGACCGAAGGUCCAGUAAGCAUGAUUUGUGGUGCCAAAAUCAACUACCAGAACCCACUGUGAUCAGGGGCGCAGCCAGGACUUUUUUAGAAUCGCCUCUGACUGUGAUGAGCAGCGGCCAACCCUAAACCCCUCAGCACCAACCGUAACAGGCAUCAAAUACUUCCGCUUGUGCAAGAUCCCAGCGCGUCGAUCUACAGAUGCCAAAAGCACCCUCUAGCGUCUGUUUCUGACACACAAGGCAGGAAAUUCCACAUGUGAUUCAGUGCAUAUGAACAGGCAAACUGCGGCUGUAGCACAUUUGCCAAGCACAAGGGAAUCAAGCAUGUAAACAAGCUGUUCAUACAAACUUCAAUUUACAUUUUAAGAAGCACUUAUUACUUGCUCUCGUAAACGACUACAAGCAAAAUCAGAAAUGAUUUUCACAGCAAGUUGCACUAAACAGAAUGGGAAAAAUAACCAAACAAGAAACCACAGGAUCAACAAGCUAUUGCUGUGCAAUGCCUGACAUUUUAAUGACAGCAGUAACCGAAUUCAUACUGACAGCACUCACCAAAUAAAGCAAUUAAUUUGGUCAAUUUACGCAGCCAUAACGACAAGUGAGACACCAACACUCUUGAAAAUGAGGGUUGUUUCAUUAGAUAGACUGUUGAACUUGACACCAUUAGGGGAC
Myxocyprinus asiaticus (Chinese sucker) is the source of this 755-nucleotide long non-coding RNA. RefSeq lists it as uncharacterized. The record is from RefSeq and is a predicted model, not a curated record. NCBI's taxonomy places the organism in Eukaryota, Metazoa, Chordata, Actinopteri, Cypriniformes, Catostomidae. The transcript has 4 exons.